GGGGGUGACCGGUUUUGACAGCGGGUAGAAAGGGUAUGUAAGCAUGCAGAGCUUCGUUGCCUGGCUCUAUAAUCUCAGACAUCAAAAAUUUAACUGGCGAAAACAAUUACGCUCUCGCUGCUUAAUCGAAGUACAGUAGGUUAGCUUUAUUCCGGCAACAGUUGCCGGAACGAGACAUCACCCGGUUGCUGUGGUUCCGAAGCGUUCCGAACAGGUGGUGCAAGAAUAUCGGAAAUAGCGGAAGUCCCGCCCCGGGACGACCGUGAAAUCUUAGGGGCUAAGGUGCACAUUGGUAGCUCCGGUCUUGUGUGUGCCCGACAACCGAAGCGGAGAUAAGCAUGUAGAAAGCAUAUUGUUUCCUCGUUUGGACGAGAGUUCGAAUCUCUCCACCUCCACAC
RNAcentral lists this transfer-messenger RNA (398 nucleotides) under Bacteroidales. RNAcentral describes it as "UBA11471 sp900542765 Standard tmRNA". It matches the Rfam family "transfer-messenger RNA". Rfam says of the family: Bacterial tmRNA, also known as 10Sa RNA or SsrA, is named for its dual tRNA and mRNA-like properties. RNAcentral also lists the same sequence under 1 other name. Lineage: Bacteria; Pseudomonadati; Bacteroidota; Bacteroidia. The record is from RNAcentral.